RNAcentral lists this long non-coding RNA (436 nucleotides) under Brachypodium distachyon (stiff brome). Its description in RNAcentral is "long non-coding RNA (BDIS_LNC001340)". The record is from RNAcentral. Lineage: Eukaryota; Viridiplantae; Streptophyta; Magnoliopsida; Poales; Poaceae.
AUUGCACGGUCAUAACAGUCCAGAUUCUUUUGUCAUGGUUUACACGUACACCUCCACACAUGUGUGAUAUAUUCAGCCUGAGCCUACCAGACGUAUCACUAACACUGGAUCAAAGUUAACCGACGCGGAUCUAGAACAGUCACUGAACAGGAACACAUACCCCUCGAUCCUCCGUGGAACACGACUGAUUGCUUCUUUGAACGAAAGCUUAAACUAUGUUUGGACUGAGGAGGGGAGCCCCUCUGCCCAGCCUGUGCAAGGUCUCAGAAGCUUUGCUUCCGAGGAAAUGCAAGAUGAUUCCUUCUUGGAAAAUGAAAAGAGAAAAAAAGAAAAGCGAUCAAAUACAAAGGCCGCGCAACGUGAUCUUAUCCCCACCCCACGUCUGGAAUCCCUCGCCUCUGGGGCAACCUAAAUGAAGAGAAGGGGUCAAAUAACA